Non-coding RNA from Nematostella vectensis (starlet sea anemone), 45 nucleotides. The record is from Rfam. Lineage: Eukaryota; Metazoa; Cnidaria; Anthozoa; Actiniaria; Edwardsiidae.
GCAAAGGUUUUUUUUAAAACCAAACAUCGAUAGCUAUAUUUUGUU